Molecule: unclassified non-coding RNA, 416 nt
Filed under: Hevea brasiliensis (rubber tree)
Lineage: Eukaryota; Viridiplantae; Streptophyta; Magnoliopsida; Malpighiales; Euphorbiaceae
Source: RNAcentral
UGAGGACUGUUGCAAGCAAAUUCUACCAAUAUUAGUUUCAUAUCCAACAUAACAAUAUUUCUUUGAUAUCAGCCUAAAUACUUACAUCCCUGACCAAAUAGCCACUAACCAACUGCCAAAACUUUGCUAACAACAGUUCAACAAGCUCUCUAUAUAUCAUGGAGGCAUGAGAUUUACAAAGCUUCCUUGGGAUUUCUGAGAAUUACUUGACUCUGAUCCUUCUGACUCGUCCUCAAAUAGUGCUUUGAUUGUUGGCCUCUUUGACUUGGUAUUCUUCUUCUUCAGUUCAGCCAUUCCAGACGCUUGAUAAUCAUUCACGAUUUCAAAGUUUUUGUACGUAUAACCCACAAAGUUGAUGUCCUUCGAUGAGAGCAUCUUCCUCCAAGGACCAGAUCUUGAUGCACUCUGAGAACGUG